AACGAACGCUGGCGGCAUGCCUAACACAUGCAAGUCGAACGAGACCUUCGGGUCUAGUGGCGCACGGGUGCGUAACGCGUGGGAAUCUGCCCUUGGGUUCGGAAUAACAGCGAGAAAUUGCUGCUAAUACCGGAUGAUGACGUAAGUCCAAAGAUUUAUCGCCCAAGGAUGAGCCCGCGUAGGAUUAGCUAGUUGGUGAGGUAAAGGCUCACCAAGGCGACGAUCCUUAGCUGGUACUGAGAGGAUGAUCAGCCACACUGGGACUGAGACACGGCCCAGACUCCUACGGGAGGCAGCAGUGGGGAAUAUUGGACAAUGGGCGAAAGCCUGAUCCAGCAAUGCCGCGUUGAGU
Molecule: ribosomal RNA, 352 nt
Filed under: uncultured bacterium
Lineage: Bacteria
Description: bacterial SSU rRNA
Rfam family: Bacterial small subunit ribosomal RNA
Source: RNAcentral